This 396-nucleotide ribosomal RNA is filed under the name uncultured bacterium. RNAcentral describes it as "bacterial SSU rRNA". It matches the Rfam family "Bacterial small subunit ribosomal RNA", at positions 356 to 769 of the family's 1533-position model. The record is from RNAcentral.
UGGGAAUAUUGCACAAUGGGGGAAACCCUGAUGCAGCGACGCCGCGUGGAGGAGAAGGUCUUCGGAUUGUAAACUCCUGUUGUUGAGGAAAAAGAGGAUGGUACUCAACAAGGAAGUGACGGCUAACUACGUGCCAGCAGCCGCGGUAAAACGUAGGUCACAAGCGUUGUCCGGAAUUACUGGGUGUAAAGGGAGCGCAGGCGGGUAUGCAAGUUGGGAGUGAAAUACAUGGGCUCAACCCAUGAACUGCUCUCAAAACUGUGUAUCUUGAGUAGUGCAGAGGUAGGCGGAAUUCCCGGUGUAGCGGUGGAAUGCGUAGAUAUCGGGAGGAACACCAGUGGCGAAGGCGGCCUACUGGGCACCAACUUGACGCUGAGGCUCGAAAGUGUGGGUAGC